UGGAGAAUAUUGGACAAUGGGGGCAACCCUGAUCCAGCCAUGCCGCGUGAGUGAUGAAGGCCUUCGGGUUGUAAAGCUCUUUUUGGCGGGGACGAUGAUGACGGUACCCGCAGAAUAAGCCCCGGCUAACUUCGUGCCAGCAGCCGCGGUAAGACGAAGGGGGCUAGCGUUGUUCGGAAUUACUGGGCGUAAAGCGAGUGUAGGCGGUUGCCGUAGUCAGGUGUGAAAGCCUUGAGCUCAACUCAAGAAAUGCACUUGAUACUGGGUGACUAGAGGACCGGAGAGGAUAGUGGAAUUCCCAGUGUAGUGGUGAAAUACGUAGAGAUUGGGAAGAACACCAGUGGCGAAGGCGGCUAUCUGGACGGUUACUGACGCUAAGACCCGAAAAGCGUGGGGAGCAAACAGGAUUAGAUACCCUGGUAGUCCACGCCGUAAACGAUGGGUGCUAGACGUUGGCGAGCUUUGCUCGUCAGUGUCGCAGCUAACGCGUUAAGGCACCCCGCCUGGGGAGUACGGCCG
This 519-nucleotide ribosomal RNA is filed under the name uncultured bacterium. Its description in RNAcentral is "partial 16S ribosomal RNA". It matches the Rfam family "Bacterial small subunit ribosomal RNA", at positions 355 to 888 of the family's 1533-position model. The record is from RNAcentral.